This is a long non-coding RNA of Sciurus carolinensis (gray squirrel), 856 nucleotides long. RefSeq lists it as uncharacterized. The record is from RefSeq and is a predicted model, not a curated record. Lineage: Eukaryota; Metazoa; Chordata; Mammalia; Rodentia; Sciuridae. The transcript is spliced from 2 exons.
UCCUGAACCCAGUGGAGGGAGGCAGAUGAGAAGCAUCUGUCAUCAUCAGUCACAGAACCCAUGCAUGUGUCAGUAGGCAGGUCUUCCAUGCCCAGGCUCUGUCUCACACACUGGGGCAGAGCCCAAGACCAGGAUAAAAGGGCCACAGGAGCAGAGCACCUCCAUCUACUCAUCUCCUGAGGUGCUCACAGACCCUGCACUGCCUGGGACCUUGCUCCUGAACACACACCUGCCAAGAUGUCCUGCCAGCAGAGCCAGCAGCAAUGCCAACCCCCUCCCAAGUGUACCCCCAAGUGCCCUCAGAAGUGCCCUGCCCCAAAGUGUCCACCAAAGUGUCCCCCUAAGUGCCCUCCAGCCCCUUCCUGCUGCAGUGUCAGCUCUGGAGGCUGCUGUGGCUCCAGCUCUGGAGGUGGCUGUGGCUCCAGCUCUGGGGGCUGCUGUGGCUCCAGCUCUGGGGGUGGUGGCUGCUGCCUGAGCCACCACAGGCCCCACAGGUCCCACCGCCACAGACAGAGCUCUGGCUGCUGCAGCCAGCCCUCAGGGGGCUCCAGCUGCUGUGGAGGGGGCAGCAGCCAGCAAUCUGGAGGCUGCUGCUGAAGUGCCCUUGACUUCCUCUCUCUUCUGAGGCUGCAGGAGUGACUGAGAGGUUUAUGUGAAAGUUUGAGCUCUUGUCUGGAGCAUCUUUCUACCCUGGUGUGCAGAAGUCAAAAUGUUUCUCCUACAAUGCAUCAGAGACCUCCUUCCCUAUUUCCACGGUGCUCUGGCAACUUAAUCCACUAAUCUAAUUCUGGCACAGAUUCUGUCAUUGUAUUCUCUUGCAUAAACUUAAAUGAUAAACUCUGGAAUCUGCUCUCCA